Molecule: ribosomal RNA, 253 nt
Filed under: uncultured bacterium
Lineage: Bacteria
Description: partial 16S ribosomal RNA
Rfam family: Bacterial small subunit ribosomal RNA
Source: RNAcentral
GACGUAGGUGGCGAACGUUAUCCGGAAUUAUUGGGCCUAAAGCAUCCGUAGCCGGUUCUACAAGUCUUCCGUUAAAUCCAUCUGCUCAACAGAUGGGCUGCGGAAGAUACUAUGGAGCUAGGAGGCGGGAGAGGCAAGCGGUACUCGAUGGGUAGGGGUAAAAUCCGUUGAUCCAUUGAAGACCACCAGUGGCGAAGGCGGCUUGCCAGAACGCGCUCGACGGUGAGGGAUGAAAGCUGGGGGAGCGAACAGG